GAUGUUCUCUGUCCAGCCCUUUCCUCGUCCCAACCACAUCCAGAAACGCUUGGGAUUUUCUGUUGCACUUCUGGGCAUCCUGUCGGACCUCCGGGUUGAGCUUCCAUCUCCAUCCCUUCUCGUCCUACAAGCAGCCUUAUAGUUAAGAUGAGGCACAGUGCUGGAGGUCACUUUAAAACUAGCUGAAGAGCCUUGCUCCCUGGGAGCAUCAGAUGGCACUGGAGGAGCAGCAAACAGGGCUGGUAAGACAGUUAACUCCAGGUUGUGGAAACCUUAAUGCUUCUGGGGAACUUAAUGAUGGAAGUACUGAAAAGCCAUUAGAGGUCUUUGAGGAAGAAAGAAAAAGAGGAAACAUGCGUUGGUCUGGAUGGCUGAAAAUGGUCUGGAAGGAUUGUCUAAAAGCAUAAACCGAAGUUUGCACUUUUGACCCAUCUCUUCCAUCUCUUAUUUACUACCUGCAAUUUGAAAGACCAGUCAGUAUGCAUGGCUCAUGGGAUUUAUCAACAUUUGGUGCAGCCAAAUCGAGUCCUAUCUUGGAAGGAUACAUCUCAUUUGAAACCCCCUGCACCAGGUAACCUAAGCUACAGAAUGCUGUUUCCUUGUGAAAACAAUUUAUUAGGCCCAGUGGAGCCAAUAUCCUGGAGCUGUAGAGGAGAAAAAUAAAUUCUUGCCUCAUAUUUCCUCACCUGAAACAUGGAACGCAAUGUUGUAAUUUCCAGGUCUGGGUUUUAUGUGAAGGUCAUCUUUAAGUGAUACAGCCAUAACAGUUUGGGCUGCAUAUUACACACUUUUAAGAGUAUGCAAGUAUUUAUUUAGAAGUGUGCUUUUUAAAUCAACAAAGGAACCUGAAUGGGACAUAAAGAUUCCUCUCUAGGAAGGUACCUUUGUUUAAAUGAUAGCUGAACAUUCAGCUGGAGCGUCAAGCCCCUAUGUUCUGGAAGAGUCUCCGCAUCAGAUGGCCUGCUUAAUGGCCUUCCCAUUUCCAUCACUAGCCAUGCUGACAGCCUACCUUUUCUAACUGAUAUGCUGGCAUUGUAAUUUAUCUUCAAAAAAAUAAAUCACAUGUUAUAGCCUUUCUA
Long non-coding RNA from Grammomys surdaster, 1079 nucleotides. RefSeq lists it as uncharacterized. The transcript is spliced from 4 exons. Lineage: Eukaryota; Metazoa; Chordata; Mammalia; Rodentia; Muridae. The record is from RefSeq and is a predicted model, not a curated record.